Molecule: ribosomal RNA, 405 nt
Filed under: uncultured bacterium
Lineage: Bacteria
Description: bacterial SSU rRNA
Rfam family: Bacterial small subunit ribosomal RNA
Source: RNAcentral
GGGAAUAUUGGGCAAUGGGCGCAAGCCUGACCCAGCAACGCCGCGUGAAGGAAGAAGGCCCUCGGGUUGUAAACUUCUUUUAUCAGGGACGAAACAAAUGACGGUACCUGAUGAAUAAGCCACGGCUAACUACGUGCCAGCAGCCGCGGUAAUACGUAGGUGGCAAGCGUUAUCCGGAUUUACUGGGUGUAAAGGGCGUGUAGGCGGGUCUGCAAGUCAGAUGUGAAAUCUCAUGGCUCAACCAUGGAACUGCAUUUGAAACUGUAGAUCUUGAGUGAUGGAGAGGCAGGCGGAAUUCCGUGUGUAGCGGUGAAAUGCGUAGAUAUACGGAGGAACACCAGUGGCGAAGGCGGCCUGCUGGACAUUAACUGACGCUGAGGCGCGAAAGCGUGGGGAGCAAACAGG